This 448-nucleotide ribosomal RNA is filed under the name uncultured bacterium. RNAcentral's name for it is "bacterial SSU rRNA". It matches the Rfam family "Bacterial small subunit ribosomal RNA", at positions 355 to 825 of the family's 1533-position model. The record is from RNAcentral.
UGGGGAAUCUUGGACAAUGGGCGCAAGCCUGAUCCAGCCAUGCCGCGUGAGUGAUGAAGGCCUUAGGGUUGUAAAGCUCUUUUUGCCGGGGACGAUAAUGACGGUACCCGGAGAAUAAGUCCCGGCUAACUUCGUGCCAGCAGCCGCGGUAAUACGAAGGGGACUAGCGUUGUUCGGAAUCACUGGGCGUAAAGCGCACGUAGGCGGAUUUGUAAGUCAGGGGUGAAAUCCCGGGGCUCAACCUCGGAACUGCCUUUGAUACUGCGGAUCUCGAGUCCGAUAGAGGUGAGUGGAAUUCCUAGUGUAGAGGUGAAAUUCGUAGAUAUUGGGAAGAACACCAGUGGCGAAGGCGGCUAACUGGUCCGGUACUGACGCUGAGGUGCGAAAGCGUGGGGAGCAAACAGGAUUAGAUACCCCUGUAGUCCCUGAGCGGGCUGGCAAGGCGCAU